Molecule: long non-coding RNA, 1856 nt
Filed under: Phaseolus vulgaris (common bean)
Lineage: Eukaryota; Viridiplantae; Streptophyta; Magnoliopsida; Fabales; Fabaceae
Description: long non-coding RNA (PVUL_LNC004940)
Source: RNAcentral
GCAGAGUUUUCUGACAGACUCUCCUUCAAUAUUUUCACCCUUAUUUUUUUCAGAGGAUUAAAUUUUGAAUAUUUUACCUUUCAAUCAUUUUUUUAUACUAAUUACUAUAUUCAAAUAAUAUUUUUAAAUUUAUUGAAAAAUUAUUAUUUCAAAAUUGAUUACCAAAUUUUAACGAUAAAUUAAAAUUAGGUUGCUAACUACAUUAAAAACAUAAAAAAAGUCUAGUAUUAUUAUUAUUAUAAAAGAAGUUAUGGUAUGAGAAGAUUACAAAGCAUAUUAAAACAUUAAAGGUAAAUGAGGAAUGAUAGAAGGACUUGUUUUUGAAGCUAUAAGACAUUUUUAUUUCAACUUCAAAGCUCAAACAAUUUUAUUUCAUUCUACAUUUAUUUCCUCUUUGUUCUGUUCCACCCUGUAUAUCAAACAAACAAAUAAAUAAUAUUAGUGUGUAUGUAUUUGUCUCUAUAUAAAUGGAUAAGGUUAUAAGGUUAAUUAGCAAUCAUUUUCAAAUUAUGUUAACUGAUAGUUUUUAUAAAUAUUAUAUCAUAUAUGUAUUGUAAUAUACAUAUUUUUUUUUAAAAAUAAGACAUUAUGUAUGUGGUCUAGUAGAAAAGUAUACAUUAAAAUAUUUGUUUAUACAAUCCUUUAAUAUUUUGGAGAGUUAAUCCUAAAAUGAAAAUCGAGUUAGUGCAUUUUUUAGUUAUAUAUUCACUAAACAAGUAAGGUUUUUCAAAUAUAUUAGAAUAAAUAAAUUUAAAAAAUGUAAUAAGUAAGUCCUGGCUUAGAAACACGAUUUUAAAAUAAAUAAACUGUUAAAAAAACACGAUCUUUAUAUUUUUUAAAAGAGUCCUCACAAGUCAACUUUUUUAGUUUUUAAAUUUUAUAAAGCUCUACACAUAAUACAUCUCCAUUUUAAUUUUUUCAAUUUUUAUGUUUUUCAACUUUUAUGUACAUCUUUUUUAUUUUCAAAUCUUUUAUUUAAUAAUUUGAUUAAUUAUUUUAUGUAAACAUUUUUAUUUUGAGAUAUUUUUUAAUAAUUUAUAUUAAAAAUAUCUAAUAUUUUUGAAGUUUCUUUUGCUUCUUCUAACUUUUUUAAAUAAAUAUUUUUUAUUAAUGUGAUUCUUAUUUAUUACAUAUAUAUGAAUAUUUUGGAAAAUAUAUGUUAAAAGUACUGCCAAUUUAUUUGUAUAAUAUGUUAAAAGUUUACUCAUUUUCAUAAAUUAAAAAAAAUAUACCCAUUUGAUUAAUCUCUAAAGUGUAAACUUUAUAAUAUAUAUUAUUGUGAAAUUGAAAUUGUGAGAAAAAUAUUUGAAUUUAAGUACCUUUGAGCUCUGAACCACCUUGAGAGUUGAUAUAACUGCAUAGUCUCAUUGGUCAUAUGACAUACCAGAAGAUGAAGGUUACGUGGUCGCACCACCCAAGCAAACCUCAUGAAUGAUGCUGAAUAAACACACAUAACUGCACUAAAACAAUUCAUUUAUUUUAAAUAUAUUAAAUAAACUCUUCUAAUAUUUUUUUAAUUAUUUUCCUCCCUUGAAACAUAUUUUUCAGCUCUCUCUAACUAUUCACCACAUAAAUUUCAUCUAUAUUAUUAUACAAUGGAAAUUCUCUCAUUUGUUUCAAAUUCUUUUUUUUUAUAUUUUAUUUUAAGUCAUUAUUUUAAGUUACAAUUUAAAAUUCAAAAUAACAUCAAUAUAAAAAAUUUAAAACAUAACAAAAUUAGAAAAUAAAUUAAAACAAAACUACCGCAUUUUGCGUAAAAUUAACUCUAAAUGUUUAAAAUGUUUGAUUUUUAUAUAAUAGUUUUUUUAUAGCAUAACUUCGAUAAAUGUAUAACAACUAAAAUAUUUAAUUUUUUU